Molecule: long non-coding RNA, 326 nt
Filed under: Gossypium barbadense (sea-island cotton)
Lineage: Eukaryota; Viridiplantae; Streptophyta; Magnoliopsida; Malvales; Malvaceae
Description: long non-coding RNA (GBAR_LNC005466)
Source: RNAcentral
UCUUUCACACAUUCUUUGCAUUCACAUUAUUUAAACAUGUAUAUCACCAAUCAAUUUCAUCACAUAUCUAUAAUUUCACUUAAGCAUAAUCUCAAUACAAUACAUCAUGCUCAAUGAUUCACACACAACCGUUCAAAUUAGCAAUUAUAAGAUGGAUCCGCACAUAGCCCACCCUUAUCGAUAAUUUACGAUGGUUUUACCCUUACUCACAUAUAUGACAUAGGCAUUUUCACCUAUGCUUCUCAUUUCACAUUCAUGAUUCAAUUCCAAUCAAUCUAACAUGCAUAAGUAUAUAUCACAUACCUGGCCAACUUAAUGUAUUGAAU